RNAcentral lists this ribosomal RNA (557 nucleotides) under uncultured Lysobacterales bacterium. Its description in RNAcentral is "bacterial SSU rRNA". It matches the Rfam family "Bacterial small subunit ribosomal RNA", at positions 578 to 1124 of the family's 1533-position model. The record is from RNAcentral. Lineage: Bacteria; Pseudomonadati; Pseudomonadota; Gammaproteobacteria; Lysobacterales.
GUUUAGAAAGUACAUUGUUAAAUUUUAAGGCUUAACCUUAGCAAAGCAAGGUAAACUUUUAAACUAGAGUUUGGUAGAGGCAGAGGGAAUUUCCGGUGGAGCGGUGAAAUGCGGAGAGAUCGGGAGGAACACCAAAGGCGAAAGCACUUUGCUGGGCCAUUACUGACACUAAGAGACGAAAGCAAGGGGAGCAAAUGGGAUUAGAUACCCCAGUAGUCCUUGCCGUAAACGAUGGAUACUAAAUGUUGGAGAAAUUCAGUAUUGUAGCUAACGCGUUAAGUAUCCCGCCUGGGGAGUACGCUCGCAAGAGUGAAACUCAAAGGAAUUGACGGGAACCCGCACAAUUGGUGGGGCACGUGGUUUAAUUCGAUGCAACGCGAAGAACCUUACCAGGAUUUGACAUGUCAUUUGUUUCUGUAGCUUAAAAUUUUAAUUUAUUUUAAGUAGAAACUUUAAAAAAAUGAACACAGGUGGUGCAUGGCUGUCGUCAGCUCGUGUCGUAUGAUGUUGGGUUAAGUCCCGUAACGAGCGCAACCCUUGUUCUGUGUUGCUUAGGG